CAGUAGCCGCGGGAAUACGGAGGGUGCAAGCGUUAUCCGGAUUUAUUGGGUUUAAAGGGUCCGUAGGCGGACUUAUAAGUCAGUGGUGAAAGCCUGUCGCUUAACGAUAGAACUGCCAUUGAUACUGUAAGUCUUGAGUAUAUUUGAGGUAGCUGGAAUAAGUAGUGUAGCGGUGAAAUGCAUAGAUAUUACUUAGAACACCAAUUGCGAAGGCAGGUUACCAAGAUAUAACUGACGCUGAGGGACGAAAGCGUGGGUAGCGAACAGGAUUAGAUACCCCCGUAGUCCCUGUCUCUUAUAC
Molecule: ribosomal RNA, 301 nt
Filed under: uncultured bacterium
Lineage: Bacteria
Description: partial 16S ribosomal RNA
Rfam family: Bacterial small subunit ribosomal RNA
Source: RNAcentral